CGUAGAGAGCUUGCUCCUUUGACGUUAGCGGCGGACGGGUGAGUAACACGUGGAUAACCUACCUAUAAGACUGGGAUAACUUCGGGAAACCGGAGCUAAUACCGGAUAACAUAUUGAACCGCAUGGUUCAAUAGUGAAAGGCGGCUUUGCUGUCACUUAUAGAUGGAUCCGCGCCGUAUUAGCUAGUUGGUAAGGUAACGGCUUACCAAGGCAACGAUACGUAGCCGACCUGAGAGGGUGAUCGGCCACACUGGAACUGAGACACGGUCCAGACUCCUACGGGAGGCAGCAGUAGGGAAUCUUCCGCAAUGGGCGAAAGCCUGACGGAGCAACGCCGCGUGAGUGAUGAAGGUCUUCGGAUCGUAAAACUCUGUUAUCAGGGAAGAACAAAUGUGUAAGUAACUGUGCACAUCUUGACGGUACCUGAUCAGAAAGCCACGGCUAACUACGUGCCAGCAGCCGCGGUAAUACGUAGGUGGCAAGCGUUAUCCGGAAUUAUUGGGCGUAAAGCGCGCGUAGGCGGUUUUUUAAGUCUGAUGUGAAAGCCCACGGCUCAACCGUGGAGGGUCAUUGGAAACUGGAAAACUUGAGUGCAGAAGAGGAAAGUGGAAUUCCAUGUGUAGCGGUGAAAUGCGCAGAGAUAUGGAGGAACACCAGUGGCGAAGGCGACUUUCUGGUCUGUAACUGACGCUGAUGUGCGAAAGCGUGGGGAUCAAACAGGAUUAGAUACCCUGGUAGUCCACGCCGUAAACGAUGAGUGCUAAGUGUUAGGGGGUUUCCGCCCCUUAGUGCUGCAGCUAACGCAUUAAGCACUCCGCCUGGGGAGUACGACCGCAAGGUUGAAACUCAAAGGAAUUGACGGGGACCCGCACAAGCGGUGGAGCAUGUGGUUUAAUUCGAAGCAACGCGAAGAACCUUACCAAAUCUUGACAUCCUUUGACCGCUCUAGAGAUAGAGUCUUCCCCUUCGGGGGACAAAGUGACAGGUGGUGCAUGGUUGUCGUCAGCUCGUGUCGUGAGAUGUUGGGUUAAGUCCCGCAACGAGCGCAACCCUUAAGCUUAGUUGCCAUCAUUAAGUUGGGCACUCUAAGUUGACUGCCGGUGACAAACCGGAGGAAGGUGGGGAUGACGUCAAAUCAUCAUGCCCCUUAUGAUUUGGGCUACACACGUGCUACAAUGGACAAUACAAAGGGCAGCUAAACCGCGAGGUCAAGCAAAUCCCAUAAAGUUGUUCUCAGUUCGGAUUGUAGUCUGCAACUA
RNAcentral lists this ribosomal RNA (1259 nucleotides) under Staphylococcus sp. Sa1a. RNAcentral describes it as "bacterial SSU rRNA". It matches the Rfam family "Bacterial small subunit ribosomal RNA", at positions 70 to 1313 of the family's 1533-position model. The record is from RNAcentral. Lineage: Bacteria; Bacillati; Bacillota; Bacilli; Caryophanales; Staphylococcaceae.